Molecule: ribosomal RNA, 502 nt
Filed under: uncultured bacterium
Lineage: Bacteria
Description: bacterial SSU rRNA
Rfam family: Bacterial small subunit ribosomal RNA
Source: RNAcentral
GAUGAACGCUAGCGACAGGCUUAACACAUGCAAGUCGAGGGGCAGCAUAAAAGUAGCAAUACUUUGGUGGCGACCGGCGCACGGGUGAGUAACGCGUAUGCAACCUACCUAUCAGAGGGGGAUAACCCGGCGAAAGUCGGACUAAUACCGCAUAAAACAGGGGCACCGCAUGGUGAUAUUUGUUAAAAAUUUAUUGCUGAUAGAUGGGCAUGCGUUCCAUUAGGUAGUUGGAGAGGUAACGGCUCACCAAGCCUACGAUGGAUAGGGGAACUGAGAGGUUGGUCCCCCACACUGGUACUGAGACACGGACCAGACUCCUACGGGAGGCAGCAGUGAGGAAUAUUGGUCAAUGGGCGAGAGCCUGAACCAGCCAAGUCGCGUGAAGGAAGAAGGAUCUAUGGUUCGUAAACUUCUUUUGCAGGGGAAUAAAGUGCAGGACGUGUCCUGUUUUGUAUGUACCCUGAGAAUAAGGAUCGGCUAACUACGUGCCAGCAGCCGCGGU